ACAAGACGCGGGGAACUUCUGCGCAGUCAAAAGUUGUUUUGCUUCCACUAGAAUAUUCCUCUGACAUGUCGCUCGUGUCAAUACACGGCACGCGCAGGCAGCUCGACAGAGUCAAGCGCUAGUGUCCCAUCCAUCCAUGAAACGGCAUCAAACAAGGUUCAAGGAGUAAAGAUAAUGGCCAAUGACUUAAUGGCUUCCACUGACAUCUCACAGCUACAUGCCAUGACAAAAUAACUUGAAGGAAGAAGACGAAAAACAAACAAAGAAAAAAAUAGGCCCUUUUCAGGACCACCCAAAUGCUUGUGACAACAACAACUUUAUUGUGAGAUGACGAAUGAUGCUGACGCAGCGUUGAGAUUAAGCCCUUGUUUCCUUUUUUGCAAUGCUAUGCAUUACUGCUGGUUCCCAAAUAGUCGAAACGGUUGUGAUAUUCUGAAAGCCCACAUCCACCUCUCCCCAAAAUGCACCUUCAUUCUCUCAGUCCGGUACAGUACCAUGUCAAAAAAAAAUAAAAAAAAAAUAGAUAAUUCAUUCCGAAACACACAUGGGUGCAGCCAUUUUUAUGACGUAGAUGCACCCGAACGGGCAUUGUGACGUGUACGCGCCUUCGUACUAAUGAG
Ornithodoros turicata is the source of this 620-nucleotide long non-coding RNA. RefSeq lists it as uncharacterized. The record is from RefSeq and is a predicted model, not a curated record. NCBI's taxonomy places the organism in Eukaryota, Metazoa, Arthropoda, Arachnida, Ixodida, Argasidae. The transcript is spliced from 4 exons.